AGAGACAGCAGUCGCCGCGGUAAUACGGAGGGUGCAAGCGUUAAUCGGAAUUACUGGGCGUAAAGCGCACGCAGGCGGUCUGACAAGUCAGAUGUGAAAUCCCCGGGCUUAACCUGGGAACUGCAUUUGAAACUGUCAGGCUGGAGUCUUGUAGAGGGGGGUGGAAUUCCAGGUGUAGCGGUGAAAUGCGUAGAGAUCUGGAGGAAUACCGGUGGCGAAGGCGGCCCCCUGGACAAAGACUGACGCUCAGGUGCGAAAGCGUGGGGAGCAAACAGGAUUAGAUACCCCGGUAGUCCCUGUCUCUUAUAA
RNAcentral lists this ribosomal RNA (309 nucleotides) under uncultured bacterium. Its description in RNAcentral is "partial 16S ribosomal RNA". It matches the Rfam family "Bacterial small subunit ribosomal RNA", at positions 504 to 809 of the family's 1533-position model. The record is from RNAcentral.